AGAUUUCCCCUCCAUACAGGAGGACAACGGUCCCGCUCUCCUUCCUCCUCCGCUUGGUCACGGUUGGCGACGCUCGCGCCAUGGCAGCCGGCUUGAACCCGGGGUGAGGCCAGAGCACCUCAGAGGUGCGGAGACCGAGGUCUGACGUCCUGGAGCUACCGAGUAAACCACAGUCUGCUGGGGUCAUCGAGUCUGGGCUAGGCCUGGCCGUUCCUGGCUCCAAGCUGAGAGCUGGGUCCAGGUCUGCUGUGUCACAUGCUUCUCCUCGUCCUUGGACAGUGACAACCAUAGGCCUGCUCUCUCAUGAGGGAGGCAGGAGCACAGAGGGCCAGGCCAGCUGUGCAAGCACCUUCCACCCUCCAGUGACAUCAUACCAGCUAAUGCCCCAUCGGCCAAAGCAAGUCACGUGACCAAACCCAGCAGUAACGGGACAAGGAGACGGACUCCACAUCUAGAGGCAAAAGCUACACAGUCACGUGACAAAGGGCACGGAUCCAGGGAAGGGAGGGGGAAGAACUGGGAACAAUGACCCUCAGUACUACAACCUCCCUUAGGUUUCAACAUCCCAUCCAGGGUGUAUUUCGAAGGAAAGAGAACCGUGGGCCGGGGAUUAGAGCAAGUGACCUCUUCUCUCCCUGUUGAGGUUUCCACACCCUUAAAACAGGGCCAAGGCUGUGACAUCGAAUCCUGUCCUGUGAGUCUGUGACGAAGUUAAACAAGCCAAUGCCAGAAAGUGCUCAGCAAGGCCGGGCGGGGGAAGAAGCUGAUAUUCACUGUUAGUGUUGCUGUGAACGCUCAAAGUCGUGGAAGUUUCCUUGAAAGUCUGAUUAGAGAAUCAUUCCAACAA
This is a long non-coding RNA of Microcebus murinus (gray mouse lemur), 847 nucleotides long. RefSeq lists it as uncharacterized. NCBI's taxonomy places the organism in Eukaryota, Metazoa, Chordata, Mammalia, Primates, Cheirogaleidae. The record is from RefSeq and is a predicted model, not a curated record.